UAUGAAGAACGUAGCGAAAUGCGAAAAGUAAUGUGAAUUGCAGAAUUCAGUGAAUCAUCGAAUCUUUGAACGCACAUUGCGCCCGCUGGUACUCCGGCGGGCACGCCUGUCCGAGCGUCAUUUCAACCCUCAAGCCCUCCUUCGGGAUGGGCCUGGUGUUGGGGCUCGGCCGCCAUCUCCGGCGGCCGUCCCCUAAAUACAGUGGCGGUCACGUCGCGACUCCUUUGCGUAGUAGAAACACCUCGCUCCGGAUAGCAACGCGGUCCACGCCGUAAAACCCCCAAUUUUCAAUGGUUGACCUCGGAUCAGGUGGGAAUACCCGCUGAACUUAAGCAUAUCAAUAAGCGGAGGA
RNAcentral lists this unclassified non-coding RNA (352 nucleotides) under soil metagenome. RNAcentral's name for it is "partial contains 5.8S ribosomal RNA, internal transcribed spacer 2, and large subunit ribosomal RNA". The stretch from base 2 to 120 matches the Rfam family "5.8S ribosomal RNA", at positions 36 to 154 of the family's 154-position model. The record is from RNAcentral.